AGGCACUGGCUUGGAACCUCUGUGUGUCUAGCCUGUUAUCUCAGUGCCAGAACAGAUGCAGUUUGAUCAUAUCCAGGGUUGCUUGGUGCUUCCUUAGUGAUUAUUUUAGCUGCAAGCAACAUUC
This 124-nucleotide small nucleolar RNA is filed under the name Microtus ochrogaster (prairie vole). The record is from RNAcentral. Lineage: Eukaryota; Metazoa; Chordata; Mammalia; Rodentia; Cricetidae.